Long non-coding RNA from Gorilla gorilla gorilla (western lowland gorilla), 405 nucleotides. RefSeq lists it as uncharacterized. NCBI's taxonomy places the organism in Eukaryota, Metazoa, Chordata, Mammalia, Primates, Hominidae. The record is from RefSeq and is a predicted model, not a curated record. The transcript has 3 exons.
CAGAUUGUGUAGCUGCCAGCGAUUUCAGAGAGCAAAAGGGACCUCAGAGAAGGAAUCUUCUGUGGAGGUGUAUCAGUGAAGGACUUUUGCGUGUCUUCUCUGUGGAAUUCAUGGGAUAGUCCCAUGAUCCUAGAAGAGAAGAGAAGUGAGACAGCCAGAAGAAACAUGAAGCACAACACCAAAAAUAAAGCGUGAAAUUCCUAAGGAUACAAAAUUAUCUUCAGGAUUCCUCAGGCCUGCCUAUACGUUGUAGGGAUUGUGUAUCUGCAGUGAAUAGCAAGGCAUGCAGAGAUGUGCUGGUGUCCAUAUCAACACUGCCUGCAGAAAAAUUCACUCACCUAGAAAGAAGAGGAGCACACCAUACCAAAAAACUAGACAUCUCCAUUUUUCAUUGUCCUAAGGCCA